RNAcentral lists this ribosomal RNA (731 nucleotides) under uncultured bacterium. RNAcentral describes it as "bacterial SSU rRNA". It matches the Rfam family "Bacterial small subunit ribosomal RNA", at positions 771 to 1501 of the family's 1533-position model. The record is from RNAcentral.
AACAGGAUUAGAUACCCUGGUAGUCCACGCCGUAAACGCUGUCUACUUGGAGGUUGAGGUUUUAGACUUUGGCUUUCGGCGCUAACGCAUUAAGUAGACCGCCUGGGGAGUACGGCCGCAAGGUUAAAACUCAAAUGAAUUGACGGGGGCCCGCACAAGCGGUGGAGCAUGUGGUUUAAUUCGAUGCAACGCGAAGAACCUUACCUACUCUUGACAUCCAGCGAAGCCUUUAGAGAUAGAGGUGUGCCUUCGGGAGCGCUGAGACAGGUGCUGCAUGGCUGUCGUCAGCUCGUGUUGUGAAAUGUUGGGUUAAGUCCCGCAACGAGCGCAACCCUUAUCCUUGUUUGCCAGCACGUAAUGGUGGGAACUCCAGGGAGACUGCCGGUGAUAAACCGGAGGAAGGUGGGGACGACGUCAAGUCAUCAUGGCCCUUACGAGUAGGGCUACACACGUGCUACAAUGGCAGAUACAGAGGGCAGCGAGACAGCGAUGUUUAGCGAAUCCCUUAAAGUUUGUCGUAGUCCGGAUUGGAGUCUGCAACUCGACUCCAUGAAGUCGGAAUCGCUAGUAAUCGUGGAUCAGAAUGCCACGGUGAAUACGUUCCCGGGCCUUGUACACACCGCCCGUCACACCAUGGGAGUGGGCUGCACCAGAAGUAGAUAGCUUAACCUUCGGGAGGGCGUUUACCACGGUGUGGUUCAUGACUGGGGUGAAGUCGUAACAAGGUAACC